UUUAUUUUUAUUUUCAUUUGAAUUUGCUGGUGGACUACUAUUGAAUACCUUGACUACAUGGGAUUUGUUAUGCCUAUACACCUCUGCAACUCUGUAAGUGUUUCAACAUUAAGCGUAAUAUUAGGCUAAUAGCAGUCUGCACUUAUUAUUACACUUCUUUUCUCUCCUACAUGCCCAUACAUGUGGGGAAGAUCUUCUGUCAACCUUAUUAUUGAUGUGCCUUCAAUCAAAC
Molecule: non-coding RNA, 232 nt
Organism: Pelobates cultripes (western spadefoot toad)
Lineage: Eukaryota; Metazoa; Chordata; Amphibia; Anura; Pelobatidae
Source: the annotation of a GenBank genome assembly